RNAcentral lists this ribosomal RNA (253 nucleotides) under uncultured bacterium. RNAcentral describes it as "partial 16S ribosomal RNA". It matches the Rfam family "Bacterial small subunit ribosomal RNA", at positions 524 to 776 of the family's 1533-position model. The record is from RNAcentral.
UACAGAGGGGGCAAGCGUUGUUCGGAAUUACUGGGCGUAAAGGGCGCGUAGGCGGCCUACUAAGUCGAACGUGAAAUCCCUGGGCUCAACCCAGGAACUGCGUCCGAUACUGGGAGGCUUGAAUCCGGGAGAGGGAUGCGGAAUUCCAGGUGUAGCGGUGAAAUGCGUAGAUAUCUGGAGGAACACCGGUGGCGAAGGCGGCAUCCUGGACCGGCAUUGACGCUGAGGCGCGAAAGCCAGGGGAGCAAACGGG